RNAcentral lists this ribosomal RNA (468 nucleotides) under uncultured bacterium. Its description in RNAcentral is "partial 16S ribosomal RNA". It matches the Rfam family "Bacterial small subunit ribosomal RNA", at positions 28 to 507 of the family's 1533-position model. The record is from RNAcentral.
GACGAACGCUGGCGGCGUGCUUAACGCAUGCAAGUCGAACGGAAAGGCCCUGCUUUUGUGGGGUGCUCGAGUGGCGAACGGGUGAGUAACACGUGAGUAACCUGCCCUUGACUUUGGGAGAACUUCAGGAAACUGGGGCUAAUACCGGAUAGGAGCUCCUGCUGCAUGGUGGGGGUUGGAAAGUUUCGGCGGGUGGGGAUGGACUCGCGGCUUAUCAGCUUGUUGGUUGGGUAGUGGCUUACCCAGGCAUUGACGGAUAGCCGGCCUGAGAGGGUGACCGGGCACAUUGGGACUGAGAUACGGCGCAGACGCCUAUGGGAGGCAGCAGUGGGGAAUAUUGCACAAUGGGCGGAAGCCUGAUGCAGCAACGCCGCGUGUGUGAUGACGGCCUUCGGGUUGUAAACCGCUUUCGCCUGUGACGAAGCGUGAGUGACGGUAAUGGGUAAAGAAGCACCGGCUAACUACGUG